This 994-nucleotide small RNA is filed under the name uncultured Mycobacterium sp. RNAcentral describes it as "bacterial SSU rRNA". The stretch from base 1 to 475 matches the Rfam family "Bacterial small subunit ribosomal RNA", at positions 1064 to 1533 of the family's 1533-position model. The record is from RNAcentral. Lineage: Bacteria; Bacillati; Actinomycetota; Actinomycetes; Mycobacteriales; Mycobacteriaceae.
GUCGUGAGAUGUUGGGUUAAGUCCCGCAACGAGCGCAACCCUUGUCUCAUGUUGCCAGCACGUCAUGGUGGGGACUCGUGAGAGACUGCCGGGGUCAACUCGGAGGAAGGUGGGGAUGACGUCAAGUCAUCAUGCCCCUUAUGUCCAGGGCUUCACACAUGCUACAAUGGCCGGUACAAAGGGCUGCGAUGCCGUGAGGUGGAGCGAAUCCUUUCAAAGCCGGUCUCAGUUCGGAUCGGGGUCUGCAACUCGACCCCGUGAAGUCGGAGUCGCUAGUAAUCGCAGAUCAGCAACGCUGCGGUGAAUACGUUCCCGGGCCUUGUACACACCGCCCGUCACGUCAUGAAAGUCGGUAACACCCGAAGCCGGUGGCCUAACCCCUCGUGGGAGGGAGCCGUCGAAGGUGGGAUCGGCGAUUGGGACGAAGUCGUAACAAGGUGGCCGUACCGGAAGGUGCGGCUGGAUCACCUCCUUUCUAAGGAGCACCACGAGAUUCAGGCCCGCCCACAUCGUGUGGGGGUUCGGAGUUCUGAACGAUUCGUUGGAUGGCCUCACACCUGUAGUGGGUGGGGGUCUGGUGCACAUGACGAACUCAAAAAACGCCGGCGCCGUCUCCCCUUCGGGGGGGUGGUGUUCGGUGGGCUGCCAAGCACACUGUUGGGCUUUGAGACAACAGGCCCGUUGUUCCCUGGCCACCGUGUGUGGUGGGAGGCGUGUUGUUGCCCCAGGUUUUGGUGGUGGGGUGUGGUGUUUGAUUCGUGGAUAGUGGUUGCGAGCAUCAACUCGCGGCAGUCGAGGUUCCCUUCCUUUCGGGGGUGGGGGCUGAGGUCGUCGUGGGUUGUUGUGGUGUAAUUUCGAUUUGAAACAAUUGGUUUUUGUGUUGUAAGUGUUUAAGGGCGCAUGGUGGAUGCCUUGGCAUCAGAGGCCGAUGAAGGACGUAGGAGGCUGCGAUAUGCCUCAGGGAGCUGUCAACCGAGCGUUGAUCCGAGGAUGU